AAAAGAACAGUUCUGAAAUAGGAAACAUUAUUCAUUUAUUCCAAAAACUGAUAACUACUACAAAAUAAGGUAAGAUUUCUAAAGUGUAAGUGCUAAGAUAAUUAUCAUUUAUAAUUUGUUCACCUGUUUCUUUUCAAUUUAACAUUACUUUAAUUUCAAUAGACAACUUGCCUCUUCAUUAUUUUAAAAACUAAAUAGAAAUUGAGAAAAUCUAUUGAAAUCAAUUAAAUAUGCAAGGCUUAUAAAUAGGUACGUAGUAAUUGUUUGGUAACGUGAUGACAUUUAUAAUACACCAUAAAUAUAAACAUUUCAAAAGGAUACAAUUUUGAAAAUCAAAAAAAAUGAUGAAAUUAGCAAGAUCAUUGAAUUCUAGAAAAAAACACCUUUUCUUUAAUAUAUUUUGUGUUUAAAAAGAAAUAUCAUGAAAUAUCAUACAGAUCAGUUUAAAUUGUUUAUGAAAUUGAAUAAGACAUUACAUGUACGUAUUUUUGAAGUCAGUUUGUUUGAAUACCUAACUACGGCUGAACAUGUAUUAUGUUAAAAAAAAAGUGUUUUUUUAUUGAAUAUGUAUAUCCCUGAACUAAAUGUUGUACUUAAAAGUAUGAAGUUAAAGUUUUUUUCUUUUUAAAUGAAUUUUUGAGAAUACCGGAAAAUGAUUGUGAUAUUGAAGAAAAUUCAUAUCUAUCAGUACUAUGUCAGAUUUUAAACAGGUGAAUGCAAUGCAUUGCCAAUCUUUUUAGUUUAAGGGCAUACGAUACAGUUUUGAUCCUGUAUUUACAAGUUCAUGAAAAUUUGCAUAUAGGCUAUUUUUUACCUGAUUAAAUCAAUAUGUAAUAAAAAAUAUACCUUAAUGUGCUACUUUUUGAGUAAAAUGAGGUCGAAAUUUUGUAUAUUUGCUCAAAAUUCAGAUUUUUGGCCGUAAUUUCUUUUUCGAAAGAAAGACAUAACUUUUUUGUUAUAAAAGAUAAACACAAAUUGUUUUUUGUUAAACAAUCGUUAAUUUCUGUAUUUUAUAAGUAUCCUAAAAAAAUAUGCAUUUUUUAAUUCAGAAAUAACUCAUAUUUAUCAAAUGUUCAUGAAUUGAGGAAAAGACGUCAUAUUUUGCUGCAUGUUUAUCAAAAUUAAAAAAAAUCCUCUAUUUACAGUUUUAUAAAAUUUGGGUCACAUAAUCUCCCUGCAAAAUGAAACAAAUUGCCGUUUUGAAAAAUAGGGGUCCAUAAACUCGUUUUCAAAUUAAAUCAGCUUGAAUGAUAAAAAUCAGUCGAAAAAUGCAUCUUUUCCCGAUAUGUCACAGUUUGACGUCGCGAAAAUAACAUUUUACGUUAGCACGUCAUUACCUCCCCUGUAACUGUAUCGUAUGCCCUUAAACUUGUAUUUGCAUUUGUUAUUGAAUGGAUCACUUUCUAUUAUUUGAGUUUGAAAAAUAAUUCCAUUACAUAUAUUUUACAAAUUUAAACUUCAUAUUUUACUACAUAAAUGAGAAUUGCUGUCUACAAUAAGUUUGGUCAAUCGGAUCUAUUAAUUUCUAAGUAAAAUUCUAAAACAUCUGAAGUAAAAUGCUUGCAGGUCUAAAUUAUAACCCGCAACUUUUUUUAUUACAUAAUUUCUACAUAUUUUUAUACAGAUGUUUAAAACAUGCUAUCUUCCUAUAUCUAUUAUGUUGUAUAUUUCAGACAAUUGAAAAUGAUGAGAUUUGAAACUAUGUCAUUGUCAAUGUUGUUGACUAUAAUGUCAGUAGCUGGUAAGCAUUUUGUUAUUUUCACCUUUUCUAUUAUUUUCUUUUAUUGUGCUUUCAAACAGUUUUGAUACCAGCAUUAUGGAUGCAUAUUAUGUAAACGACAUCUGGCGUACACAAUUAUCUUAAGUCUGGUACCUUUGAUGAGCUUUGUUUUUACACAAAUAUGUCUGACGCAGUUAAGAUACAAUUCCACAAAGAUACCACACUUUUAAUUCUGUAAACAAGACCCGCAUAUCGUCUAAAAAAGACCCAGCCGAAAAGCUCAAAUCUAAGUGCUAAAAUCAAGUUUGAAUUUGAGGUCAACAGAUGUUCGAAGUUUUUUAAUGUAAGUUUGGCAGUUAAUUUAUGAAUAUGACCAUAUCGAUGUCAACCUAACUUAUCAUUGAUAAACCUGUAUAUACAUUAUAAUGAAAAUAACACAGUAUCAAGAUGAUAGUUUUGCUAUAUUCGCAUUAAACAGGCACGCAUUAAAACGAUUUUAAAACAGCUAUUACUUCUGUCACAAAGCUCGUACAUUUUUUACAGCCUAUACACCUACAGAAAAGAAAUUAGGUCUACAUGGAGUAAACAAGGUAUUACAGCUUGAGAAUGGAGUUGGUAGAGACAUUGGAGGUCACCGAGGAGAGUCACUUACUGUGUUGGAUGUAAUUGAUGCAAACAGACGAGCAGGAUCUGACAGAAGAAGUUCAGCUGUCUCUGAAAUUAUAAGAAGCUCUUCAUUUCAGAAUUCUGCUGGUAUAGCAAGCAAUGAUGGUUUAAACAAAAACUGUCAUUACGAGUGUGGAGUAGAUAAAUUCUGUAACCUAGGACAGAAAUGUGUACGCGAUGGAUGUGACAGUUAUUGUGUCCAAGUUUCAUCUGGAAGUGUCAUUGGUGAAUCUGGAUUGUCGGGGUCUAUAAGAAGUGGAAAUGGAAAUACAGUUUCAGAAAUUAUUAGAGGUUCAUCAUCUGACAUUUCAAGACUGUCAAGCAUUGAUGGUUCAAAAUGCAGUUAUGGAUGUGGAGAAAAUAAACUAUGUGCAUCAGGACAUAAAUGUAUCCUCGAAGGAUGCAACAGCUAUUGCGUUCAAUUAUCAUCUAGUAGCCUAAUUGGUUCAGGUCAGUCUUUAACCGGACGUUUGGGUCUAUCUAACAAUGGUCAUUUGGAAACUAUUGGUAGCAGUGGUUCAAUGUCUGGUCACACAGGUUCUGAUAUUCUUGACGCUAUCUCAGCUAGACGAAGUGGCAUUAAUGCAUUGGACACAAUUACAUCUAGACGUAGUGGCACGGAUGCAUUGGACACAAUUUCUUCUAGACGAGUAGGAUCAGUUGGAUCAUCUGGUUCAAUUAUCGUUUCUCAGUCAGUAAAAGGAGGCCGCAGUGAAUGUAGUAAACUAUGUCAUACUGAUUCAGAUUGUGCACCAAGCAAAUACUGUACCACUGUUAAAUGCCACAGGCUUUGUAGAAGAAGGCCAUCUAAAGGUAAUUCAGGAUGAAUAUAAUAAGAACUUUGAAGAAAUCCACAAUUUUUUUACCCAAAUUGUUUUUUUUUUUUAUUAUGAAAUAAAUAAAAUGUUAAAUACAAUUAGUCUUGUUGUAAAAAUGUUUAAAAUCACCCAAAACUAUAAAAUGGUUAAGACAUUGAGGCAAUUAUAAUCAUAAAAAAAUUACACCAUACAAACAGAUAUAAAAUACACGUACAUUAACAAUAGCAUAACUAAAGAUAGCCGAUUUGAAGUUUUAUGGUUCAAUUUGAUCUUUUUCAUUAAAAAAGGAAGAAUAUUUCGAAAUAAAGAUAUUACAAAAACAAAUAAAGGACAUUAUAUGAAUGGUAACCGCUCCUGUAAAUUAAAAAAAAAUAUAAAUGAAGCGUAAAUGAUUAUGUAGUGUGAAUAAACCAUAUGAUACACACGUUAGCAUAAAACACAAAAGACAUGCAAAAUGUGAUUAUAUCAUAUUGUGUUAGCCUUAAUGUUGGCCUUUUGGUGAGGUUAAUAAAGGCAACAAUAGUUGCUCUCGUUUGAAUUUUUUUACAUUGUCUUAUCGGGGCCUUUUAUAGCUGACUAUGCGGUAUGGGCAUUUGCUCAUUGUUGAAGGCCGUACGGUGACCUAUAGUUGUUAAUGUCUGUGUCAUUUUGGUCUUUUGUGGAUAGUUGUCUCAUUGGCAAUCAUACCACAUUUUCUUUUUUAUAAAUAGUUAACCGUUGUUCGAAAUUCAUAAAUCGAUUGAGAAAAUCAAACCCCACAAAUUCGGGUAACAAACUAAAACCCAGGGAUACACAUCAAAUAUAAGAGGAGAACUUAGACACAACAGAAACACAACAUUAAAAUGUAACACACACAGAAACGAACUAUGAUGUAACAAUGGCCAUUUUCCUGACUUAAUACAGGACAUUUAAAUGGUGGGUUGAACCUGGUUUUGUGGCAUGCCAAACCUUCCGCUUUUAUGGCAAUGUUAAAUAUAACAUUAAAAUGACAGCCUUAUAUAAUAGGACUACAAUACAAUAAAUGGGAGAACAUACAGGGCAGAGAAACACUUGAAUUAUAGCAAACAAAAGGUGACAGGUUUACAAUUUAAUACGCAAGAUGCGCGUUUCGUCAACACAAGACUAACCAGAGACUCUCUGAUGAAAAGAGUUCGAAAGCCAAAAUAAAGUACAAAGUUGAAGAGCAUUGAGGGCCAAAAGUUCCAAAAAGUUUAUCCAAAUACGGCUUGUUUUUUUUUGCCUGUGAUAAGAACAUCCUUAUCAUUUAGAAUAGUUCAUACUUUUGCAAACAGUAAUUUUAUAAAAUGACUUUAUAAUAGAUAUAAAUGAUAAAACCGGUGAAUAACUACAAAAUAAAACGAAUAGGUAAAUAAUUUAAACCAGAAUAUAGAAAUCUACAACCGCGUUAGCCAAAUCGAUAAACGCACAAAUUUAAGUGACGUCACAUUUGAAUUUACAACUACAAACGAUAAUAAUUUGACAAAAUCAGAUGAGAAUAACAAAUAUUACCUCAAAACUAAAUACAUGAAUUUCGGUUGGAAAAUACCGUGACACGUCUUAUAUAUAGCAAUGAGAAUUUACACUCAGCAACAAAAGUACAAUCAGGAAUAAUUCACGUUCGGUAAUUCAAUGAUCAGACGACGUAAUGACAAACCACACUCUAACACGUGGUCAAAAUGUCUUUAGUUAGUUUGGACAAGGACACAUUGUAUGGAUCAACCAUUUCGUGAUGGUAAAAUAAUAAAUAUGAAUUGUAUAUGCUAAUGCAUACAUGUCACUGCUAGUGUUGUGAUUGUAUUUAGCUAGGAAAAUAUCAUUUUAACAGUUUAAUUAUUCAAAAAGAGAUAAAAAGGUAUUUGUCACCCGUUAAUAAUGUUUAAGAAAAUAAGUUUUAAUACUAGGAUGUUCUUCAAAGAAGAACCACAUUUGAAACACAACAGCACAAAAACAUAAAACAACAUGAACAGUGUCUUCAUAUAUUUUUGUGUUAAAAUUAAUGUUGGCCUUAGCGAUAACAAAGUCAUGAACAAUAUCAUAGAAUGUCUGUUUUAAAACCACACAUAUGUUUGCGCACAUGUCACUGCUUUAAAAGAGGAGCGAGAAUACCAGAGGGAUAUUCAAACUCAUCGAUCAAAAAUAAACUAACAACACCAUGACAAAAGAGAAAAAGACAAAAGGACAAACAAUAAUACAACAUAGACUUAACAUAGAAAACUAAAGACUUAGCAAAACGAACUCCAUCAACAACUGGGGAUGGUGUCAGGUGCUCUAGAAAGUUCAGCAGUUCCUGCUCUUCAUGUGACAACCGUCGUACUGCCCAUGUUUAUUCAAACCCGUAAAUAAUCUAAUUUGGAUGGUCACAUUCGUGAAAAAAGGAACAUAAUUGUAGUUACGAAAUAGAAAAACAUAUCCGUUAUCAUUUGUGACAUGGAUAUUCUAUAGCAGUUAACCAACUCGUAAUGGCGUCUUUAAAAUUUACGCUUGGACAUUUUUAACUUCACCAUUUGAAAUUAUUUUUUAAAUACUUUCCUUUUGAGCAGCAACCCUCUAUCAAGGAAAUAUGACAGAAAACAAAAGCUCGUGAUAUCAUUUCAAAUGGGAGAUAUACAUUCCGUAUGCAGCAGCUGCUGGAAUGUUGCUACAAAGUUCACAAAGAGAAAGCUGAAACCACCUCUUUUGUCGUACGGUUUAGUUUUCAACCGACCAUUCAUUGUUAUUUUCUAGAUGUUAGUAAAGAUAUGAGGCAGACUCAUCUGUUGUAUCAAUAAUCUUCACUUCAAUUGGAUAGAUGCGUAUAAUAUAGUCAGCAAAUUAUGAAUUAUUUAGUGAGAGAACAUCAUCUUUUUGACGGAAAGUGAAGUACAAGAAUAUUGCUAACUUCUUUUUUUUCUUCCUUAGAAGUAUCUGUAUGAGGCCAGCAUCAUAAGAAUAAAGGAACAAGUGAGCAAGAAGAGGGACACAAUUGGUUACCAUGGGAUUCCGGUAGUAUGUUUAAAAGUACGUCCUCCAAACGUAACAAAUAUGUAUUCGAUCAAGAAAUCAAGCAUCUUCACAAUGUCAGUGUCAGUGAUUUCUUUUGGUCUGAAUCCGAGUUAUUUUUUACAAAGUAAGAUUUAUUCCUCGUAAAGAUAAGAUACUUGUAUUUACUUUGUUCUUUUUUUAUGAAACAAAGCAAUACCAACUGUUUCAAUUUGUCUUUUAGUUUGGUAUAGGGUGUACCCAAAAAAUCUUUGGAAUGUUUCAGUAUCCACAUCUGAUUCACACCACCUCUAGAAUAGGAUGAUUUACAAUAACAUUGAAGCCUGGCUUUGAUUGCUUCUAAGAUUAAUGUUAAUAAUUCAAAAAGAGAUUUCUUGGAGCACUUGGAAGACCCAGCAAUAUACCAUUGUGUUUAAGGACACUUAUGUAGAUUAGAAUUUCAAUACAGUUAUUGGAAAUCCAGUUAUUCAUCUUUGAUUGAAAUUCCAAAGAUGCAUAACAUGAGUAUCAGGAUUUCAUCUUUAGAAAGUGUCGUGGGGUAUAUAUUAAAUUUCAAAGUGAAUAUUCAAUACCUAGUUCAUUUGUCAAGCAGUCUAUGUAAUGUGAUUUACACACAAAAACGAUGUUGUUUGGAACUUUAUCUGCAGGGACAACAACAUAUUUGUCAUUGAUCAGGGAGGACUCGUAUAUUGGAUUGUUAAAAACGAUCGAUAUUGUUUUGGACAAUAUAACCCUAAAUAAAACGACACAAUAAAUGCAAGACGUACGAUUAUAUUUUAUAUAUAUUACAAUUGUCCAAUUUCUUAAAAAAUGUUUAUUAUAAAUAAUUCAAAUAUCAGAAAUAUAAGCACUCUACCAAUAAGUAAGUGGAAGGUGCACUGAAUUAUGUUAUAGUUUUUAUAAACAUGGUUGUUAUGAUCCCCGGAAAAUACCAGGAACAUAUUGUCAUUUGUAAGUUCGUACUAACGUCUUCUUCUUUGUGUGAGAAACAAACAGUUGACCGAUUAUAAUUUGUGAAGACGUUCGCAUUCAAAUUAUAAAAAAAAACCGACACCGUGCUAAAAAACAAAAAAACGACAACAAAAAACAUAUAUUUCAGUUUAUAAUUAAACUUGUAUUGAUUGAAGACAUAUAGAUAAGAGGCAACUCCCAUUUAUUUUAUUUUAUUUUAUGUUAAAAGGUAAAAAGUCAAGGUCAAAUCUACUUCUAAAACAAACAAUUGCAAUUUGUUGUUAUUUAGUGAAGGUUUGAGGUACACUAGUGAAUUUGGUAAAACUAAUUCAAGUGAAUGUAAGUAAAAACAAACAGGAAACUGCUGUUGGUUUAAAAAGGUAGAUAUUAAAGGUAUCAAUUGCUUUGUAUAGUUGUGCAUAUUAUAAAAUGUCUGGUUUCAAAUAAUUAUCUUGCAUAUGUAUUUCCUUUUUUCUUUUUUCUGGAUAUAUUUACUACGAUUAUGCUUCCACACCGAAUGAGUUGUUUGUUUGUAAUGCUAUCCUCAAUGCUAUCCUUAAAAAAGCCAUGUGAGGAUUUCUGCAAUAAGGACCUUAAACGAAGCAUUAUACAGUUUGACAAAAUUUGAUAAGACUCUUGAGUCUUCUUAAUUAUUGACCUCAUGUGUGACAGAUAAGCUAUAGUUAGGUUGAUGAAAUAUCUUAAAAUGAAAUCGUUAGCCUUCCUGGCCAUAUAUAUGUCAGGAAACAUAGGGUCAGGGAACCAGAGCCUCAUACAGUUUGGUUUAAGUUUAAGAUUAUCCCCAAAAAGCUGGAUUUAUAUUGGAACUCAUGAAAAAUAUUGGGCAUAAUUGGGGUUCUUAGACAACUGAUGUUUUGUACUUUCUGUAUAAUAUAGAAUAUAUUUAGUGAUAAGUUGAUAGUCAACUGAAUGGUUACACAUGUAUACAGAUGAAAAAUCAGGAAUGGAAAUCCAUAAUUUAUUUGUCUCUCCAAAUAUGCUAGCAUUCUUAAUUAUGAAUAUAUAUUUAAAAAAAUCAAAAAAUCUCAAUAUAAAUGUGCCGUUCAGUUAUGACUAGACCGUCGUGCAGGUUUUCCACGUUUUUCAUUAAUUGCAUUUCGGCAUUGGUCUAGCUUCAAGUAGCUGUUUCUUUUUGUUAUAGUUUUAGUGCUUUAUACUGAUCUGAUGUGCUUUCCGUCAGAUAUUUUUAUUUUGUUGUUUUUUUUUCACAGCUAUCGCAAGUAAUUUAAGGUGGUUUUCAAUCUCUCAAACAACGCAACAUUAUUUCACUUAUAUUAUUAGCACCUUUGAAAAUUAUAUUAUUCAAUUUACAAACUUUAACAUCAUAAAUUAUUUUUGCUUAUUUGUUGUGUUUACAUGUUUAUAAGAUAGUUUUUCUUGUACAGCUCGAUGAGUACCUAAAUGUUUAUGUUUGUCGUUAUGUGAAUACAAAAAAGUAAAUAAAAAAAAAAAAAAAGAACAUUUCGUAUCAAAAAGUCAGAAAAGUCGUACAUAAUUAUAACUAGACUUAAAUAGCUAAAGGUGCCACGCAUCCUAACUAUUAAAUAAAAAUCAAUAUCAUACGAAUACGCUUGAUCAUAUCAUCUAUGCUAAUCCAGCAUAUCCCAUAUAACGUAAAAGGGAUAAUUAAUUAAAAUAAGAAAAUAAAAAAAAAUAAAAUUUCGAAAGAUUAAGUUUGUAUGUUACUUAGGUUCAUUCAUUUCGAUAUAUGAAAAUAUUCAUUCAGUAGAAGUAUAUAACAUUUUUUUUACUUAUUUUAGUGUCAUUGAAAAUUAUUCACACCGAAAUAAGUAAAAUAUUAAAGAAAACAUCAUCAAAAACUAUGUGUUGUAUACUUAACAACACAUCAUUUCAAUACAAGGCUUCACUUAAAUCUAUGUGGUCAAUAUAUGGUACAAAUAGAUAAAUGGUCAGUAAUAUAUGUCAAGCUCCAAUGAAACAAACCCUUUGCAAAUUCAAUUCUUUGACUAUCAAUGAAUUUUUCUAAAUAAACUCAUCAUAUAUACCAGGACUAAAUUUUAUAUAUACACAAGACACGGCGUUUCGUCUUAAAAAGACUCAUCAGUGACGCUCGAAUCCAAGAAAGUUAAAAAAAAAAAAAAAAAAAAAAGCCAAGUAAAGUACGAAGUUGAAGAGCAUUGAGAUCCAAAAUUCCCAAAAGUGUUGCCAAAUACAGCUAAGGUAAUCUAUGCCUGAUGUAGAAAAGCCUAUCAAUGAAUGUUUUUAAUUGUUUCAACAUUUUUUACAUAACAUUUAUCGAAAAAUAAAAUUUCAGUAGAGACGAAAUUUAUCAUCAAGGUAGUUGUGAAAUCAAUCAUGCGAUUGUCUUAACAUGUGUGUUUCUGUUGUUGUAGUGUUUUUGUGUUGUGUGUUUUUCUUCACUUUGACCCUUGUUCUUAUUGUUUAAAGAUAGUCAAUUGCGAUAAAAAUCACAUAAUUAUCAUAAACGAUUAGAGACAUCUAUUCAAAUAUUUUAUAAAGCAUAAAUUAUUAUAUCUAAAUAAAAAAUACAGUUGGUUAACUAUUUUUUGAGGAAAUAGAAACAGUACGGUUUGUUUAUGCUAAACUGUACAAGUCUCUGACUACUACCUUAUACAUAAUAUGUGUAUUUAUGUACAUUACUAAUACAUCAAAACAGCAUUUUGAAGUACAUAUAUCUACUAUGACGUAACCAAAAAACAAGUGUAAUACAAAAGGAAAUAGUAUGUGCAUUUGAACCCAAUAAGUACAUAUAGGUUUUUUUAAAUUUGCAUAUUGUGCAAUUAUUAUUCGUUACCUGGUAAUGUUUUGCGUAGUAAAUUGGUUUAAUAACAUGAUGACUUUAAUAAUACACCAUACAUACAAAAAUUCCAAAAGGAUAACAUUUUGAAAAACAAUUAAUUAUGAAAUUCUAGAAACACACUUUUUUUUUAAUACAUUUUUGUUUUCAAAUAGAAAUAUUAUGAAAUUUACAUUGUUUAUGAAAUUAAAUAAGACAUUACGUAUGAUUAUAGUCAGUGACGAAUUUGCAAGUUUGUUUGAGUACCGAACUACGGCUUCACGUAUAUUAUAUAAAAAAAAAAAAACACGCAAUGGUUGUGACUAGCGUUUCUUAAUUGAUUUUGAAUUUUUCCGAACUAAAUGUUGGACUUUAAAGUUUGAAGUUGAUUUUUUUAAUAAAUUCUAGUGAAUACCAGAAAAUAAUUGAAAUAUAAAAAAAAAACUUAUCUGUUAGAACUUUGUCAGAUUUUAAACUGAUAAAUGCAAUGCAAUUGCAAUCUUUCAGUUUAAACUUAUGUUUGCAUUAUUUUAAUGAAUGAACCAAUAUCAGUCCUUUUAGUUUUUGUAAUAUACUUCCAUUACAUAUUUUUUACAAAUUUAAACUCCAUAUUUUACUACAUAAAUGAGGAUUGUUAUCUAAAAUAACUUUGGACAUACAUUUAUUCCCGUUAAUUCGCUUGACAAGUUUGGUUUUUUUUGUUGGAAAUUAUUUUUCCCUGUUUCGUGUUUUAUAUUGUUCUUGUUAACAUACCUUUGAUCUUGACGGUUACUUUCUAUAUCCCUUUUUUGUUGUUUGUCAAGCUAUUAAGAAUAGAAGAACAUGCAAAAUCUGAUCUAUUAAUUUCGAAAUUUUAAGUAAUUUGAAGUAAAACGCUUGCAGGGCUAAAUUAUAAUAAGUAACCUUUUUUAUUAUAUGAUUUAAAGUUAUUUUUGCAAACACAUGUUUUCAAACAUGCUUAUGUUGUAUAUUUCAGAUUCUUGAAAAUGAUGAGAUUUGAAACUAUGUCAUUGUCAAUGUUAUUGACCAUAAUGUCAGUAGCUGGUAAGCAUUAACUUAUAUUCGCUUUCCAAGAUUAUUAUUUUUUAUUUUGCUUUCAAACUGUGUUGAUACCAUAAUCUCUGAUAACACUCAUGAAGAAAGAAGAAACAUGUGUCUGGCGUACCAAAUUAUAAGUCUGCCACCUUUGAUAAGCUUUUUGUAAACAAAUUUGUCUGAUGUUUUUAAGGUCAAGUUCUAGUUACCGAACAAAGAUACGACGCUUAUAAUUCGGUACUCAAUAUUCGUGCUUCGUCUACAAAAGACACAUCAGGAAUGCUCGAAUUUAAAUGUUAUACAUGUUAUAAUACAGAAUCAAGAUUGAAUUUAAAGAGAACUGAGGAUUCAAAAUAUCCGAAGUGUUCUUAAAUAAAUGAAAUUUUCGCAGUUAGUUUAUAAGCAUGUCUAAUCAAUGGUAUUUAAAUUGAUCACUUAUGGAUCUGCAAGUAUAUUAUUACAAAUUAGAUUUAUAAUAAAAAAAGGCACUAUAUAAUGAUUUUCUAUAUUCUUAUUAAAAAAGUAAGUUUUCAAAGAAUUUUAAAAUAUUUGUUUGAUAUAAGUUUUACAAACCUCAUAUAUUUUUUACAGCCUAUACACCUACAGAAAAGAAAUUAGGUCUACAUGGAGUGAACAAAGUAUUACAGCUUGACAAUGGAGUUGGUAGAGACAUUAGCGGUCCUCUUGGAGACUCACUUUCUGUACUAGAUGUAAUUGAUGCAAAUAGACGAGCAGGAUCUGACAGAAGAAGUUCAGUUGUCUCCGGCAUAUAAGAAGCUCUCAUAUUCAAAGGUCUGCUGGUAUAUCAAGCAAUGUUGGUAUAAACAGAAACUGUCAUUAUGAGUGUGGAGUCAGAUAAAUUAUGUAGCCUAGGAAAAAAUGUAUACGCGAUGGAUGUGACAGUUAUUGUGUCCAAGUUUCAUCUGGGAGUAUUAUUGGUAAAUCUGGAUUGUCGGGGUCUAUAAGAAGUGGAACUGGAAAUACAGUUUCAGAAAUUAUUAGAGGUUCAUCAUCUGACAUUUCAAGACUGUCAAGCAUUGAUGGUUCAAAAUGCAGUUAUGGAUGUGGAGAAAAUAAACUAUGUGCAUCAGGACAUAAAUGUAUCCACGAAGGAUGCAACAGCUAUUGCGUUC
Molecule: long non-coding RNA, 12081 nt
Filed under: Mytilus galloprovincialis (Mediterranean mussel)
Lineage: Eukaryota; Metazoa; Mollusca; Bivalvia; Mytilida; Mytilidae
Source: RNAcentral